This 497-nucleotide ribosomal RNA is filed under the name uncultured bacterium. RNAcentral's name for it is "partial 16S ribosomal RNA". It matches the Rfam family "Bacterial small subunit ribosomal RNA", at positions 28 to 507 of the family's 1533-position model. The record is from RNAcentral.
GAUGAACGCUGGCGGCGUGCCUAAUACAUGCAAGUCGAGCGAACAGACGAGGAGCUUGCUCCUCUGACGUUAGCGGCGGAAGGGUGAGUAACACGUGGAUAACCUACCUAUAAGACUGGGAUAACUUCGGGAAACCGGAGCUAAUACCGGAUAAUAUAUUGAACCGCAUGGUUCAAUAGUGAAAGACGGUUUUGCUGUCACUUAUAGAUGGAUCCGCGCCGCAUUAGCUAGUUGGUAAGGUAACGGCUUACCAAGGCAACGAUGCGUAGCCGACCUGAGAGGGUGAACGGCCACACUGGAACUGAGACACGGUCCAGACUCCUACGGGAGGCAGCAGUAGGGAAUCUUCCGCAAUGGGCGAAAGCCUGACGGAGCAACGCCGCGUGAGUGAUGAAGGUCUUCGGAUCGUAAAACUCUGUUAUUAGGGAAGAACAAAUGUGUAAGUAACUAUGCACGUCUUGACGGUACCUAAUCAGAAAGCCACGGCUAACUACGUG